Erinaceus europaeus (western European hedgehog) is the source of this 359-nucleotide unclassified non-coding RNA. Its record names the gene 7SK. It matches the Rfam family "7SK RNA". Rfam says of the family: 7SK was discovered as an abundant small nuclear RNA in the mid-70s but a possible function has only recently been suggested. The record is from Ensembl. NCBI's taxonomy places the organism in Eukaryota, Metazoa, Chordata, Mammalia, Eulipotyphla, Erinaceidae.
GGAUGUGAGGGCGAUCUGGCUGCGACAUCUGUCACCCCACUGAUCGCAGGGUUGAUUUGGCUGAUCUGGCUGGCUAGGCUGGUGUCCCCUUCCUCCCUCACUGCUCCAUGUGCGUCCCUCCCAAAGCUGUGCGCUUGGUCGAAGAGGACGGCCUUCCCUAAAUAGAGACGGACCUGUCUUCCAUCGAGGGUAUACGAGUAGCUGCGUGCUCCCCUGCUAGAACCUCCAAACAAGCUCUCAAAGAAUGUGUGAUGAAAGAUGGCAGACCGGCAUGCUUAAUUUUAUAUUCACCAAGGUCCCACUAAAAUGAUGAUAAUGACAUUUAAAAAGUGAUAAAUAUGAACAGUAUGGAGAAUCCU